This 1434-nucleotide ribosomal RNA is filed under the name Lactiplantibacillus plantarum. RNAcentral describes it as "bacterial SSU rRNA". It matches the Rfam family "Bacterial small subunit ribosomal RNA". Lineage: Bacteria; Bacillati; Bacillota; Bacilli; Lactobacillales; Lactobacillaceae. The record is from RNAcentral.
GAACGCUGGCGGCGUGCCUAAUACAUGCAAGUCGAACGAACUCUGGUAUUGAUUGGUGCUUGCAUCAUGAUUUACAUUUGAGUGAGUGGCGAACUGGUGAGUAACACGUGGGAAACCUGCCCAGAAGCGGGGGAUAACACCUGGAAACAGAUGCUAAUACCGCAUAACAACUUGGACCGCAUGGUCCGAGUUUGAAAGAUGGCUUCGGCUAUCACUUUUGGAUGGUCCCGCGGCGUAUUAGCUAGAUGGUGGGGUAACGGCUCACCAUGGCAAUGAUACGUAGCCGACCUGAGAGGGUAAUCGGCCACAUUGGGACUGAGACACGGCCCAAACUCCUACGGGAGGCAGCAGUAGGGAAUCUUCCACAAUGGACGAAAGUCUGAUGGAGCAACGCCGCGUGAGUGAAGAAGGGUUUCGGCUCGUAAAACUCUGUUGUUAAAGAAGAACAUAUCUGAGAGUAACUGUUCAGGUAUUGACGGUAUUUAACCAGAAAGCCACGGCUAACUACGUGCCAGCAGCCGCGGUAAUACGUAGGUGGCAAGCGUUGUCCGGAUUUAUUGGGCGUAAAGCGAGCGCAGGCGGUUUUUUAAGUCUGAUGUGAAAGCCUUCGGCUCAACCGAAGAAGUGCAUCGGAAACUGGGAAACUUGAGUGCAGAAGAGGACAGUGGAACUCCAUGUGUAGCGGUGAAAUGCGUAGAUAUAUGGAAGAACACCAGUGGCGAAGGCGGCUGUCUGGUCUGUAACUGACGCUGAGGCUCGAAAGUAUGGGUAGCAAACAGGAUUAGAUACCCUGGUAGUCCAUACCGUAAACGAUGAAUGCUAAGUGUUGGAGGGUUUCCGCCCUUCAGUGCUGCAGCUAACGCAUUAAGCAUUCCGCCUGGGGAGUACGGCCGCAAGGCUGAAACUCAAAGGAAUUGACGGGGGCCCGCACAAGCGGUGGAGCAUGUGGUUUAAUUCGAAGCUACGCGAAGAACCUUACCAGGUCUUGACAUACUAUGCAAAUCUAAGAGAUUAGACGUUCCCUUCGGGGACAUGGAUACAGGUGGUGCAUGGUUGUCGUCAGCUCGUGUCGUGAGAUGUUGGGUUAAGUCCCGCAACGAGCGCAACCCUUAUUAUCAGUUGCCAGCAUUAAGUUGGGCACUCUGGUGAGACUGCCGGUGACAAACCGGAGGAAGGUGGGGAUGACGUCAAAUCAUCAUGCCCCUUAUGACCUGGGCUACACACGUGCUACAAUGGAUGGUACAACGAGUUGCGAACUCGCGAGAGUAAGCUAAUCUCUUAAAGCCAUUCUCAGUUCGGAUUGUAGGCUGCAACUCGCCUACAUGAAGUCGGAAUCGCUAGUAAUCGCGGAUCAGCAUGCCGCGGUGAAUACGUUCCCGGGCCUUGUACACACCGCCCGUCACACCAUGAGAGUUUGUAACACCCAAAGUCGGU